This 425-nucleotide ribosomal RNA is filed under the name uncultured bacterium. RNAcentral describes it as "partial 16S ribosomal RNA". It matches the Rfam family "Bacterial small subunit ribosomal RNA", at positions 354 to 796 of the family's 1533-position model. The record is from RNAcentral.
GUGGGGAAUCUUGCGCAAUGGGCGAAAGCCUGACGCAGCCAUGCCGCGUGAAUGAUGAAGGUCUUAGGAUUGUAAAAUUCUUUCACCGGGGACGAUAAUGACGGUACCCGGAGGAGAAGCUCCGGCUAACUUCGUGCCAGCAGCCGCGGUAAUACGAAGGGGGCUAGCGUUGCUCGGAAUUACUGGGCGUAAAGGGCGCGUAGGCGGACAGCUUAGUCAGAGGUGAAAGCCCAGGGCUCAACCUUGGAAUUGCCUUUGAUACUGGCUGUCUUGAGUUUGGGAGAGGUGAGUGGAACUCCGAGUGUAGAGGUGAAAUUCGUAGAUAUUCGGAAGAACACCAGUGGCGAAGGCGACUCACUGGCCCAAUACUGACGCUGAGGCGCGAAAGCGUGGGGAGCAAACAGGAUUAGAAACCCCGGUAGUCC